UGGCGAAUAUUGGGCAAUGGGCGCAAGCCUGACCCAGCAACGCCGCGUGAGGGAAGAAGGCUUUCGGGUUGUAAACCUCUGUCCUUGGUGACGAAACAAAUGACGGUAGCCAAGGAGGAAGCCCCGGCUAACUACGUGCCAGCAGCCGCGGUAAUACGUAGGGGGCGAGCGUUGUCCGGAAUUACUGGGCGUAAAGGGUGCGUAUGUGGCCUUUUAAGUUGGAUGUGAAAUACCCGGGCUUAACUUGGGGGGUGCAUCUAAUACUGGAGGGCUAGAGUGCAGGAGAGGAAAGCGGAAUUCCUAGUGUAGCGGUGAAAUGCGUAGAUAUUAGGAGGAACACCAGUGGCGAAGGCGGCUUUCUGGACUGUAACUGACACUGAGGCACGAAAGCGUGGGGAGCAAACAGGAUUAGAUACCCUGGUAGUCCACGCGGUAAACGAUGAAUACUAGGUGUAGGGGGUAUCAACUCCCCCUGUGCCGGAGCUAACGCAAUAAGUAUUCCGCCUGGGGAGUACGGCCGCAAGGUUG
Molecule: ribosomal RNA, 528 nt
Filed under: uncultured Bacillota bacterium
Lineage: Bacteria; Bacillati; Bacillota
Description: bacterial SSU rRNA
Rfam family: Bacterial small subunit ribosomal RNA
Source: RNAcentral